Molecule: ribosomal RNA, 253 nt
Filed under: uncultured bacterium
Lineage: Bacteria
Description: partial 16S ribosomal RNA
Rfam family: Bacterial small subunit ribosomal RNA
Source: RNAcentral
UACGUAGGGUGCAAGCGUUGUCCGGAAUUAUUGGGCGUAAAGAGCUCGUAGGCGGUCUGUCGCGUCGGCUGUGAAAUCCCGAGGCUCAACCUCGGGUCUGCAGUCGAUACGGGCAAACUGGAGUGUUGCAGGGGAGACUGGAAUUCCUGGUGUAGCGGUGAAAUGCGCAGAUAUCAGGAGGAACACCGAUGGCGAAGGCAGGUCUCUGGGCCACUACUGACGCUGAGACGCGAAAGCGUGGGGAGCAAACAGG